GACGAACGCUGGCGGCGUGCUUAACACAUGCAAGUCGAACGGAAAGGCUCCAGCUUGCUGGAGUACUCGGGUGGCGAACGGGUGAGUAACACGUGGGUAAUCUGCCCUGCACUCUGGGAUAAGCCUGGGAAACUGGGUCUAAUACUGGAUAUGACCUUUCUCCUUAUGGGGUUUGGUGGAAAGUUUUUCGGUGUAGGAUGAGCCCGCGGCCUAUCAGCUUGUUGGUGGGGUGAUGGCCUACCAAGGCGACGACGGGUAGCCGGCCUGAGAGGGUGAGCGGCCACAUUGGGACUGAGAUACGGCCCAGACUCCUACGGGAGGCAGCAGUGGGGAAUAUUGCACAAUGGGCGGAAGCCUGAUGCAGCGACGCCGCGUGAGGGAUGACGGCCUUCGGGUUGUAAACCUCUUUCAGCAGGGACGAAGCGUAAGUGACGGUACCUGCAGAAGAAGCACCGGCUAACUAUGUG
RNAcentral lists this ribosomal RNA (467 nucleotides) under uncultured bacterium. Its description in RNAcentral is "partial 16S ribosomal RNA". It matches the Rfam family "Bacterial small subunit ribosomal RNA", at positions 28 to 507 of the family's 1533-position model. The record is from RNAcentral.